Hyla sarda is the source of this 2344-nucleotide long non-coding RNA. RefSeq lists it as uncharacterized. The record is from RefSeq and is a predicted model, not a curated record. The transcript is spliced from 5 exons. NCBI's taxonomy places the organism in Eukaryota, Metazoa, Chordata, Amphibia, Anura, Hylidae.
UAGGAAGCGGUAGUGACUGUCUCGGCCAAUAGCAACAUCAAAGAAGCGUCACUACAACUCCCAUGACCCCACUGCAUAGCUUUUCAUAGCUGGGAAUUAUGGGAAAUGGAGUUCAAGUUUUUCUAGUCCUUGCUUCAGGUCCAUCAUGCCUUGUAUGUGACUUCCCUUCAACCAUCCAAGGUCAGCCACCAUGAGAAUUCCAGGAAUAUGAGCUUUAGUUUCCCUGUGGAAAGGAAAAGGAGACGCCACCCCAGGACAAGAUGAGGCAAGAUGGAUCUGCCUGCGGCAUCGCAAAAAUAGAAGACCUGCCCUAUUGUUUGCCAGGAAUGUGCAGUCUUCCCGAGUGGCUCCAAAGUUUCAUUUCUUAAAAAAAUUUAAUUUUCCUGUGCCAUAGGAAAGUGAAUGCAAUCUAUUGCUCCUUGAUAUCAGCCACUUCAAGUCUGGGGAGAAGCGGACCGUAUUGCGCUGCAAAGUGUUACCUGACACGUGUUGCGCAGAAAUGAAUACAUGGGCAGUGCGGUGGUAAUUCCAGCCCUGGACACAAGGAGUUACAGGAUCAGCCCAAGGAAGCAGUCACGGGUAUAGCAUGAGCUCUGGAGUCACAGGGAGGACACAGUCACAUUUUUGGAGCAUGGGAGGGAGAAGAGAAGAAAAAAAAAAAAGGAGUAAACACGAGAAGAGGAAAGAUAGAACAAAGAGAGAAGCUUAUCUGGAAAAAAAAGUGCAGGAAUAAUGUGAUAUCUCCUGACAAUGUGCUCAUUGUGGUUACUUAGCUGUGAAGGUUGUGUGUCCCAGCUCUGUUAUGUAAUUCCUGUUUGUGUGGGGAGGGGGGGGGGGGGUCACAGGUCAUGUGGGUUCUGUGAUGAUCUAUAAAGGGUAAACGCGCAUGAAAUCUGCAGCAAAUAUGCAUUUUGGGGCAGAUUUUUAAACCAGUUGCAGAUUUGGUGUGAAAUUGGCCUGCUGCAAAUUUAGGGUAGGGUUACAGGUAGCACAUCCGCAGCGACAUAAGCUGUUUGGGUUUUUUAAGGGUAUGGAUAUGCGUAGUACAUUCGAAGCAAAAAAUCUGCAAACUGCAGGUUUGUAUUAGUCUAAAAAUUUUACUCAUCACUGUCGAGUGCAGUGUUUCCCAAUCAGUGUGUUCCCAGCCAAAGGCUGUCCGGGCAUGCUGGGAGUUGUAGUUUUGCAACAGCUGGAGGCAACCUGGUUUGGAAACCCUGCUCUAGAUUAUUGGCUGGUACCACAAAAUCCUGCCACUCUUAGUUUAAAGUGUACCUGUCUUUAGCAAAAACUUUUGGUAUAAAAUAUAGACAAUAACACUAUGUAUAUUUGUAAUAUACAUUGGUUAAAAAAAAUGUAUAUUUUUGUCCCUGUAGCUAUUGUCUGUGUGAGGAGAAGACCAAAUACAGGAAGUGUGGGCGGACAAGCAGGGCUCUGUGCACCGAGGACAAGCAGGGCUCUGUGCACCGAGGACAAGCAGGGCUCUGUGCACCGAGGGCAAGCAGGGCUCUGUGCACCGAGGGCAAGCAGGGCUCUGUGCACCGAGGGCAAGCAGGGCUCUGUGCACCGAGGGCAAGCAGGGCUCUGUGCACCGAGGGCAAGCAGGGGUCUAUGCACUGACGACAAGUAGGGUUCUGUGCAGUGAGACUGUGACAUACAACCCCCCCCCACAGCAGGAUGAUUGACAAACCAGGAGCCUGCGCAGAGCCCUGCUUGUCCCGUUCUCACUUCCUGUAUUUGGACUUUUUACAGACACACACAGGCAAAAGCUGCAGGGACAGUAUUUUUUCCAAAAAAUAUAAAACAUUUUAAACCAAUGUAUAUUACAAAUAAACCUGUAAUGGUAUUAUAUAAAAGGUUUUUGCUACUGACAGGUACAAUUUAAUGAAAAGUAAAGUUCUUCUCAUUCUUCUGUUUUUAGCUUUGCAACUCCACAAAAAAUAUUGCAGUUCCUUAUUAGAAAUAACUUGCAGACUGUCACAUGCCAAAUUUUAUUCUUCUUCUAUUAAAUAAAUCCAUAUAUUCAAAUCAUUAAUGACCUAACAGGUCCCAUUGGUGCCAAAAUAAAGGAAUUUUACUAUAUACACACACAUGCCACUUUAGGAUAAAUGCACACUGUUAUGCUGCUGAUUUUCCACAUAGAAAUUUGCAUGGCAAAUCUGCUGGAAUUCUAGCACCAGUAAGAUAAAUAUACUCAUUUAAGACUCAUCUAUAUGCAAUAAAAAAACAUUUAGACUUAAAAAAAACUCUGUACUGCAGGUUAGUUUCAAUCUGCAGAAUGUCAAUUAUUGUUGCAAAUUUUCUUUGGUUAAAGGAGAUCAUGGAGAAAAACAUAUCCCCUACCAAA